This 409-nucleotide long non-coding RNA is filed under the name Rattus norvegicus (Norway rat). RNAcentral's name for it is "long non-coding RNA NONRATT027528". The record is from RNAcentral. Lineage: Eukaryota; Metazoa; Chordata; Mammalia; Rodentia; Muridae.
GUAUACUUAAAGAAGUAGAUGAAGGAAAAAUUAAUGUUCAGAUGUGUGUGCAUUUAAUGCAUGCUUUUGUGUGUGUUCCUGCAGGUUCAAAAGAGGAAUUUCAUAGAGAAUAUUAUUCCAAUCAUCAUCUCCCUGAAGACUGUGCUGGAGAAAAAUAAGAUCCCUGCUUUAAGGGAACUCAUGAACUACCUCAGGGUAAAUGAGGAACUUGCCCUGUGGGGUUUUCCUCCCAAGCCCCACUGCCCCAGAUUCAUUGCUUAGUCUAGACAGUGAACGACAAGAACUCGGUGCUAAGAAACCUCGUUUAUAGAAAUGUACCGAGCAGGCUGCCAAGGGCAUUGAGGGACUGAAGUGUGGCCAGAAGUACCACUGAGGUGCUCCGUGUUUCUCAGGCCACUGAGUUUUUAAA